AAUCAACGCUGGCGGCGUGCCUAACACAUGCAAGUCGAACGAGAAAGUGACUUCGGUCACUGGACAGUGGCGUCCGGGUGAGUAACACGUGGGUAAUCUACCUUCGGGUGGGGAAUAACGUCUCGAAAGAGACGCUAAUACCGCAUAAUGCAGCGGCACCUUAUGGUGAAUAGUUGUUAAAGCGGGGGAUCGCAAGACCUCGCGCCUGAAGAGGAGCCUGCGGCAGAUAGCUAGUUGGUGAGGUAAUGGCUCACCAAGGCUGCGAUCUGUAGCUGGUCUGAGAGGACGGCCA
RNAcentral lists this ribosomal RNA (292 nucleotides) under uncultured bacterium. RNAcentral's name for it is "partial 16S ribosomal RNA". It matches the Rfam family "Bacterial small subunit ribosomal RNA", at positions 32 to 306 of the family's 1533-position model. The record is from RNAcentral.